CACACGACUCUCGGCAACGGAUAUCUCGGCUCUCGCAUCGAUGAAGAACGUAGCAAAAUGCGAUACCUGGUGUGAAUUGCAGAAUCCCGCGAACCAUCGAGUUUUUGAACGCAAGUUGCGCCCGAAGCCUUCUGGUUGAGGGCACGCCUGCCUGGGCGUCACGC
RNAcentral lists this ribosomal RNA (164 nucleotides) under Sacciolepis indica. RNAcentral describes it as "5.8S ribosomal RNA". It matches the Rfam family "5.8S ribosomal RNA". Rfam says of the family: 5.8S ribosomal RNA (5.8S rRNA) is a component of the large subunit of the eukaryotic ribosome. It is transcribed by RNA polymerase I as part of the 45S precursor that also contains 18S and 28S rRNA. Functionally, it is thought that 5.8S rRNA may be involved in ribosome translocation. The record is from RNAcentral. Lineage: Eukaryota; Viridiplantae; Streptophyta; Magnoliopsida; Poales; Poaceae.